UAUGUUCAUUGAUUUUCCUUUCUUCUUUACCCGCACCCGAGGACAUGCUCAUUGAUCUCAGAGAAGGGGGAAGGCAGGGAGAGAGAAGGAGAAACACGUGUGUGGGAGAGGCUGCCUUCGCACGCACCCCGACCGGGACCGAACCUGCAGCCCAGGCGUGUGCCCUGACCAGGAAUCAAACCGGCUGUCUUUCCGUUUAUGGGACGAUGCUCCAACCAACAGAGCCACACUGACCAGGACCAUUUAUUGAUUUUUCAGAGGGAGAGAGAGAGAGAGAGAGACAUCAAUGUGAGAGAGAAACGUUGAUUGAUUGCCUCCUGUAUGCACCCUGACUGAGGACCGAACCUGCAACCUCGGUGGCCCCUUCGAUCUUGUCCCUCCAACGCUGACUGCUGGGACACCUGGCAAGGACACUCAGGAGCCAGAGGACUGUCUGGCCCCGAGCACACUGGUGGGUACAAACUGCAGCAUGGAAGGCACCCGUUGGUAAGCUCCCAGUUCCCAAUGCAAAAGGAGAAAUCGGAGGUGGGGUGGUCCCCAGUCCCACCCGCCCCUGGGCUCUGAGCCCAGCCUGGCCCCACAUGUCCUGCCGGGUACCACAGCCUGGCUUCCUCAGGGUGGCACAGGUGUGUCUCUGUCCAGGACGGCCACGGACAGUGCGGCCUCCAGGAGGGACAGCAGUGCCCAGGGCUUGGGGAAGCUGUGCAAGACUCACUUCUAGCUCUGUAGAGCCCCUGGCUCUGGCUGCUGGCCCCUGGAGGUCUGGUUUAAGGGGCAGGAGGUCCUCGGCAGGAUCAGUCCUGCCCACCCAUCGACACCCGGGCACUGAUACUUUCUUCCUCACCCUUCCCUCCUGCCCCACAGAGCGGCCCCUCACCAGUGAGUCAGCUGCAGGGGGGCAGCAGGACUCCUGCCCUUCCAGCGCUCUCCGUCAAGCUGGGGAGUGUCCGGUGGGGAGCGGCUGGG
This is a long non-coding RNA of Artibeus jamaicensis (Jamaican fruit-eating bat), 966 nucleotides long. RefSeq lists it as uncharacterized. The record is from RefSeq and is a predicted model, not a curated record. NCBI's taxonomy places the organism in Eukaryota, Metazoa, Chordata, Mammalia, Chiroptera, Phyllostomidae. The transcript is spliced from 3 exons.